UGCAUUUUAGUUUAUGAUGAAUUAAGAGUUUUGAUCUCUAAGGGUAUGGUUUAACUCCAUAAUUUGCAA
Molecule: transfer RNA, 69 nt
Filed under: Cobbenicoris guangxiensis
Lineage: Eukaryota; Metazoa; Arthropoda; Insecta; Hemiptera; Urostylididae
Description: tRNA-Gln
Source: RNAcentral